GGGUGAAUCACUCUAAGGACAGGGCUGGGGGGAAUCACUAUAAGGACAGGGCUGGGGGGAUCACUCUAAGGACAGGGCUGGGGUGAAUCACUCUAAGGAAAGGGCUGGGAGUGAAUCACUCUAAGGAUAGGGCUAGGGGUGAAUCACUCUAUUUACAGGGCUGUGGUGAAUCACUCUAAGGACAGGGCUGGGGUGAAUCACUCUAAGGACAGGGCUGGGGGGGAAUCACUCUAAGGACAAGGCUGGGGGUGAAUCACUCUAAGGACAGGGCUGGGGGGAAUCACUAUAAGGACAGGGCUGGGGGGAAUCACUCUAAGGGCAGGGCUGGGGUGAAUCACUCUAAGGACAGGGCUGGGGUGAAUCACUCUAAGGACAGGGCUGGGGUGAAUCACUCUAAGGAA
RNAcentral lists this long non-coding RNA (401 nucleotides) under Salmo salar (Atlantic salmon). RNAcentral describes it as "lncRNA (ENSSSAG00000104122.1)". The record is from RNAcentral. Lineage: Eukaryota; Metazoa; Chordata; Actinopteri; Salmoniformes; Salmonidae.